GGGUCUUGGUCAAUUAGAGGAAGUAAAAGUCGUAACAAGGUUUCGGUAAAGAUCCUUCUUUGAAGCCUCCCACACAUCGACUAUAACCCUGUGUGCAGUCUAGAAAUAGGCGACGUCACCCCUGUGCUGGAACGCUACCUCAACAAUGGCGGAUCAGCAGCCAGGCUUUCCUGGUCCACAGAUUAGGUGGUGGCGGUCCCCCGAACGUCUUGUUGGGGAUGAAGAUAUAAUCGGUCUCCGUCACUUCGAUUUGAUGGCUGAGAGACGUUCCGUAGGUGAACCUGCGGAAGGAUCAUUA
This 298-nucleotide ribosomal RNA is filed under the name Verrucaria elaeina. Its description in RNAcentral is "partial 18S small subunit ribosomal RNA". Lineage: Eukaryota; Fungi; Ascomycota; Eurotiomycetes; Verrucariales; Verrucariaceae. The record is from RNAcentral.